UACAGAGGGGGCAAGCGUUGUUCGGAAUUACUGGGCGUAAAGGGCGCGUAGGCGGCCGCCUAAGACAGACGUGAAAUCCCUCGGCUCAACCGGGGAACUGCGUCUGAUACUGGGUGGCUUGAAUCCGGGAGAGGGAUGCGGAAUUCCAGGUGUAGCGGUGAAAUGCGUAGAUAUCUGGAGGAACACCGGUGGCGAAGGCGGCAUCCUGGACCGGCAUUGACGCUGAGGCGCGAAAGCCAGGGGAGCAAACGGG
This 253-nucleotide ribosomal RNA is filed under the name uncultured bacterium. Its description in RNAcentral is "partial 16S ribosomal RNA". It matches the Rfam family "Bacterial small subunit ribosomal RNA", at positions 524 to 776 of the family's 1533-position model. The record is from RNAcentral.